AGUGAACGCUGGCGGUAGGCCUAACACAUGCAAGUCGAACGGCAGCACAGUAAGAGCUUGCUCUUACGGGUGGCGAGUGGCGGACGGGUGAGGAAUACAUCGGAAUCUACUUUUUCGUGGGGGAUAACGUAGGGAAACUUACGCUAAUACCGCAUACGACCUACGGGUGAAAGCAGGGGAUCUUCGGACCUUGCGCGAUUGAAUGAGCCGAUGUCGGAGUAGCUAGUUGGCGGGGUAAAGGCCAACCAAGGCGACGAUCCGUAGCUGGUCUGAGAGGAUGAUCAGCCACACUAGAACGUGGACACGGUCCAGACUCCUGCGGGAGGCAGCAGUGUGGUAUAUUAGACAAUAGGCGCAAGCCUUAUCCAGCCAUACCGCGUCGGUGGAGGAGGCCUUCGGGUUGUAAAGCCCUUUUGUUGGGAAAGAAAAGCAUCAGGUUAAUACCCCGCUGUUCUGACGGUACCCAAAGAAUAAGCACCGGCUAACUUCGUG
This 492-nucleotide ribosomal RNA is filed under the name uncultured bacterium. RNAcentral's name for it is "partial 16S ribosomal RNA". It matches the Rfam family "Bacterial small subunit ribosomal RNA", at positions 29 to 507 of the family's 1533-position model. The record is from RNAcentral.